CAGGGUUGUUAUGAGGCUCAAAGGAACUGCUGCUGUCUGUGAAAAAACAUGCUUUGCAAUUUAUGAAGCACUGGAUAAACAUCAGGAACAGUAUAAAAGCGUACUACUUCCUCAAGAAAUACUAGUUGAGUGCCUGUGUGUUGGGCACUGGCUAGAGAUAAGGGGCCUCCUAUGGACAGAAGUGCGGGCAAGGAGCUUUGUUCCUCCCCGAUGUCACCCUCCCACAGCCCACCUGCUAGCAGGCAAGAGAGUGGUGGAGGCCGGCAGGAAGGCAUGUACUGAACUGGGCCUCUGGUGGAAUGGCGUCACCCAUGCUGGGCUUGACUCUUACCAUCGGGGUCCCGCCAACCCUUCAGUGAGACUUUUUCAGAAGAAUCCCUUUUAAAAUGACCUCAAGCUGACCUUCCUGCUGCAGAUUCCACAUAUGGUAUCUGAGACUCACACAGUGUGGUUGGAAGAUAGCACAGUGACCUCCCAGGCACAGCCCCCUGCCAGCCCUCCACUGGCUGCCCUAGGAUGCUGGCCUUCCUCCGAUGGGAGUCGGGCCCAGUCUGCUGUCAGCCAGGAGCAGCCAGCAAGCUCCCUGGGAGGCCUGGAGGAGCCCUUCUCACUCAGCUUGGUGUUCGAUGCCAGUGCCCCCACCCAUUGUGGGGUGAGGGUGGGACUCUCAGCACAGCCCUGUCCAAAUAAAUCCUCUAAAGCCCUCUUC
Molecule: non-coding RNA, 709 nt
Filed under: Pongo abelii (Sumatran orangutan)
Lineage: Eukaryota; Metazoa; Chordata; Mammalia; Primates; Hominidae
Source: RNAcentral